CCCGCCAGCUCCCGGUGCUCAGCAAGGAUCUCUAAUUCCAUUUUGCACGAGCUGGGCCAAGGCGAAAUCGCUUCCGAGAGGAAGGAAUAAGCAGUUGUUUUUCUCCUGCAUCCAAAACAAUCUGACCCUCUGCACAAUCUCAGCAGGACCUUUCCUGCAUGCACUGUCUCUCCUCCUGGCCAUAACACUGGAAUCCAGGAAGGAGAUGAUUUUGCAAAGCAAAAUUACAAGGAAAUUCUUAAUUGUUUCACAGAACCACUGCUCAGGUCUUCUAAAGGCUGUAGUGA
Molecule: non-coding RNA, 287 nt
Organism: Taeniopygia guttata (zebra finch)
Lineage: Eukaryota; Metazoa; Chordata; Aves; Passeriformes; Estrildidae
Source: RefSeq, a predicted model, not a curated record